Molecule: transfer RNA, 72 nt
Filed under: Camelus bactrianus (Bactrian camel)
Lineage: Eukaryota; Metazoa; Chordata; Mammalia; Artiodactyla; Camelidae
Also listed under: 3 other names
Rfam family: tRNA
About the family: Transfer RNA (tRNA) molecules are approximately 80 nucleotides in length. Their secondary structure includes four short double-helical elements and three loops (D, anti-codon, and T loops). Further hydrogen bonds mediate the characteristic L-shaped molecular structure. tRNAs have two regions of fundamental functional importance: the anti-codon, which is responsible for specific mRNA codon recognition, and the 3' end, to which the tRNAs corresponding amino acid is attached (by aminoacyl-tRNA synthetases). tRNAs cope with the degeneracy of the genetic code in two manners: having more than one tRNA (with a specific anti-codon) for a particular amino acid; and 'wobble' base-pairing, i.e. permitting non-standard base-pairing at the 3rd anti-codon position.
Source: Rfam by way of RNAcentral
GGUGUAAUAGCUCAGUGGUAGAGUGCAUGCUUAGCAUGCAUGAUGCCCUGGGUUCAAUCCCCAGUACCUCCA